RNAcentral lists this long non-coding RNA (1221 nucleotides) under Heterocephalus glaber (naked mole-rat). RNAcentral describes it as "lncRNA (ENSHGLG00100046751.1)". The record is from RNAcentral. Lineage: Eukaryota; Metazoa; Chordata; Mammalia; Rodentia; Bathyergidae.
UGCUGUCAUAUCCACAGUGAAUUGAGCCCAGGGCCUCCUUUAUGCAUGACAGUUGCUCUGCCACUGAGCCACAUCCCCAGUCCUUUUUUGUGUUUUAAGACAGGGUCUUGCUACAUAGGUCAGGCUGGCCUUGAACUUGUUAUGUAGCUCAGGAUGGCCCUAAACAUGUGGCAAUCCUCCUGCCACAGUCUCCUGAGUGCUGGUAUUACAGGUGUGUGCCACCACGCCCUGCAUUCUCUAGCUUUUGAGGCACUGGCCUUGCUCUUUCACUCCUAAUUCUUUUGGUUCUGCAUACAAUGUGCCUACACACACACACACACACACACACACACACACGCUCAUGCUCACACAAGCACACCUCCCACAGAAGCUUCAGACUCCCUGUGCCAUGUUGCAUCUGAAUGCAGUGCCACUGUCUACCUACUGCUAUCCCUACCUGGUACACCUCACCACAGCUGCUGUCCAUGGGUCUUCCUAUGGCCAUGAGGCUGCCACAGAAAUUACCAGGGUCCUGGGGCAUCAGUUUUUCUUCCCAUCUCAGUCACUCAGAGAGGGGCCAGCCCUCCCUGUGCCACCUCUAGCCCUCUCAGAGGGGAUUGUGAGCCUGGAAAACAGAAAUCUAGUUGUCCCCAAUGUCACCAUUGUUGAUUCUAAGUUAAGAUCAGACUACCUUCUGGGGCUUCUUGGCUCAUAGAGUCCCAAGGACCAGGAUGAGGCUAGUAGGCACCAUAGCCCAGGAAAUGCCGCUGGUGACACAAAUUCCCAUCUGCUCUCCAGCCCCUGCCAACAGAGAGACAUCAGCUUUGGCAAGGGCCCUGGACACGUCCAAGGUCUCCAGUGGUCAGACUCACUGCUGAUGGUGUUUGGUUCCUACCAUCGGCUCCUACAUUAUGCAAGACAGACAGCACACCAGGCUGGCCUGCUGCCAGGCAAGCCAAUAGGGUGUGGUGUGCAUGUCCCAGGUGGCAAGGCCUUACUUCUAUCUAAAUCAGACAUUGCUAACCGCCUUACAAUCGCCUCAUAACCAGUAGGACUCCCUCUCCCCGAAGUUCAGAGCUGGAGAUGUCAGAUGCCAUCACGGGGGUUUUGCACUGCCCCCCAAGGGAGAAAAGGAUUCCACAGUCCUGAACAUUAUGGGGGCUGACAACCAGUGCUGCAGGUGCAGAGGAUGAGCGACAGCCUUCCAACGCAGGGGCCUGAAGCGACAGGAACUGGUAAACG